UACAGAGGUGGCAAGCGUUGUUCGGAAUUACUGGGCGUAAAGGGCGCGUAGGCGGUCUUCUAAGUCAGACGUGAAAUCCCCCGGCUUAACCUGGGAACUGCGUCUGAUACUGGGAGGCUUGAGUAUGGGAGAGGGAUGUAGAAUUCCAGGUGUAGCGGUGAAAUGCGUAGAUAUCUGGAGGAAUACCGGUGGCGAAGGCGGCAUCCUGGACCAUAACUGACGCUGAGGCGCGAAAGCUAGGGGAGCAAACGGG
This 253-nucleotide ribosomal RNA is filed under the name uncultured bacterium. RNAcentral describes it as "partial 16S ribosomal RNA". It matches the Rfam family "Bacterial small subunit ribosomal RNA", at positions 524 to 776 of the family's 1533-position model. The record is from RNAcentral.